AUUACAUGUUUAUCUGGUCGCUGCUUUCUCAGAGUUACAUACAUUUAUAAGAAGCACUUUUACCCACAGCACACUUCAGUGUUUCCUGCUGUUCAACACUUUUACUCAUGAAAACAAAUAAUCAAAUCUAUGCAGUAAAAAGCUGAAGUGUUUUUCUUUUCCCCUCCAGCUGAAUCUGAGGCGACGUUAUGGCUUCAUCAGGAACCGUUACGGAUGAACCUCUGAAGCGCAGCAGCAGCUCUGAAUUACUGCAUCCAACCAGAUGAACCCCUGACCAGUAGGAACAUACCAGAGGGUUCUGUAUAGUGCUGCAGAAUGCUAUGGUAGCUGUUUAGGUUCAGGGUACCUCUCACUCUGUAUGAGUCACCGACUCUGGAUCCAGCAAAACAGCCCCAGGCCAUCACGCUUCCUCCUCCAUGUUUGACAGUUGAUGUCACACAUUGAGGAACCAUCCUUUGCUGCAACUCCACCUGUCAAACCUGCAACUCCAGGUCUUCUCUUCACAGUUGAAACUGAGAUUCAAGUAGUCUCUGCUGUACAGUGGAACAUUGCCACCAUAUUCAGGCCAUCCUGACCUGAUGAAUUUGGUGACAGCCUGUAGCUCGCUGUUGGCUGCUGUUGAAAAUUCUGAUGCUCUCCAUC
Amphiprion ocellaris (clown anemonefish) is the source of this 642-nucleotide long non-coding RNA. Lineage: Eukaryota; Metazoa; Chordata; Actinopteri; Pomacentridae. The record is from Ensembl.